UGACCGCUGGCGGCGUGCCUACUACAUGCACGUCGAGCGAACGGACGAGAAGCUUGCUUCUCUGAUGUUAGCGGCGGACGGGUGAGUAACACGUGGAUAACCUACCUAUAAGACUGGGAUAACUUCGGGAAACCGGAGCUAAUACCGGAUAAUAUUUUGAACCGCAUGGUUCAAAAGUGAAAGACGGUCUUGCUGUCACUUAUAGAUGGAUCCGCGCUGCAUUAGCUAGUUGGUAAGGUAACGGCUUACCAAGGCAACGAUGCAUAGCCGACCCGAGAGGGUGAUCGGCCACACUGGAACUGAGACACGGUCCAGACUCCUACGGGAGGCAGCAGUAGGGAAUCUUCCGCAAUGGGCGAAAGCCUGACGGAGCAACGCCGCGUGAGUGAUGAAGGUCUUCGGAUCGUAAAACUCUGUUAUUAGGGAAGAACAUAUGUGUAAGUAACUGUGCACAUCUUGACGGUACCUAAUCAGAAAGCCACGGCUAACUACGUG
Molecule: ribosomal RNA, 495 nt
Filed under: uncultured bacterium
Lineage: Bacteria
Description: partial 16S ribosomal RNA
Rfam family: Bacterial small subunit ribosomal RNA
Source: RNAcentral